Molecule: small nucleolar RNA, 118 nt
Filed under: Echinops telfairi (small Madagascar hedgehog)
Lineage: Eukaryota; Metazoa; Chordata; Mammalia; Afrosoricida; Tenrecidae
Description: Small nucleolar RNA SNORA61 (ENSETEG00000024630.1)
Source: RNAcentral
AUCCAAAAUUCCUUAGCCAUCAGAUCUAAACACUGGUCUGGGUGAUUACAAAAAGAGGAAAAGUAAAAUUGAAACUGAUCUCAAUUGUUUUGUGACACACAAGCUAGUUUCAACACAC